RNAcentral lists this ribosomal RNA (497 nucleotides) under uncultured bacterium. RNAcentral's name for it is "partial 16S ribosomal RNA". It matches the Rfam family "Bacterial small subunit ribosomal RNA", at positions 36 to 507 of the family's 1533-position model. The record is from RNAcentral.
UCUUCCCUCUGGCGGCGUGCCUAAUACAUGCAAGUCGAGCGAACAGACGAGGAGCUUGCUCCUCUGACGUUAGCGGCGGACGGGUGAGUAACACGUGGAUAACCUACCUAUAAGACUGGGAUAACUUCGGGAAACCGGAGCUAAUACCGGAUAAUAUAUUGACCCGCAUGGUUCAAUAGUGAAAGACGGUUUUGCUGUCACUUAUAGAUGGAUCCGCGCCGCAGUAGCUAGUUGGUAAGGUAACGGCUUACCAAGGCAACGAUGCGUAGCCGACCUGAGAGAGUGAUCGGCCACACUGGAAGUGAGACACGGACCAGGCUCCUACGGGAGGCAGCAGAAGGGAAUCUUCCGCAAUGGGCGAAAGCCUGACGGAGCAACGCCGCGUGAGUGGUGAAGGUCUUCGGAUCGUAAAACUCUGUUAUUAGGGAAGAACAAAUGUGUAAGUAACUAUGCACGUCUUGACGGUACCUAAUCAGAAAGCCACGGCUAACUACGUG